AUUGAGCGCUGGCGGCAUGCCUUACACAUGCAAGUCGAACGGCAGCGGACCUUCGGGUGCCGGCGAGUGGCGAACGGGUGAGUAAUAUAUCGGAACGUACCUUUCAGUGGGGGAUAACGUAGCGAAAGUUACGCUAAUACCGCAUAUUCUGUGAGCAGGAAAGCAGGGGAUCGCAAGACCUUGCGCUGAUUGAGCGGCCGAUAUCAGAUUAGCUAGUUGGUGAGGUAAAGGCUCACCAAGGCGACGAUCUGUAGCGGGUCUGAGAGGAUGAUCCGCCACACUGGAACUGAGACACGGUCCAGACUCCUACGGGAGGCAGCAGUGGGGAAUUUUGGACAAUGGGCGCAAGCCUGAUCCAGCCAUGCCGCGUGAGUGAAGAAGGCCUCGGUUGUAA
Molecule: ribosomal RNA, 394 nt
Filed under: uncultured bacterium
Lineage: Bacteria
Description: bacterial SSU rRNA
Rfam family: Bacterial small subunit ribosomal RNA
Source: RNAcentral